GGACUACUGGGGUUUCUAAUCCUGUUUGCUCCCCACGCUUUCGCGCAUCAGCGUCAAUACCGGUCCAGUUGGCCGCCUUCGCCACCGGUGUUCUUCCCAAUCUCUACGAAUUUCACCUCUACACUGGGAAUUCCACCAACCUCUCCCGGAUUCAAGCGCACCAGUAUCAAAUGCAGUUCCCAGGUUGAGCCCGGGGCUUUCACAUCUGACUUAGAGCACCGCCUACGCGCCCUUUACGCCCAGUAAUUCCGAACAACGCUUGCCCCCUUCGUAUUACCGCGGCUGCUGGCAC
RNAcentral lists this ribosomal RNA (292 nucleotides) under uncultured Alphaproteobacteria bacterium. RNAcentral's name for it is "partial 16S ribosomal RNA". Lineage: Bacteria; Pseudomonadati; Pseudomonadota; Alphaproteobacteria. The record is from RNAcentral.